UAGUUCUACUGUUGCAGAUAAGAUCCUUUGUAGUAUCACCCAAUUGCGGGGAGACGCUGCAUAGAUAUAUUUUGGCUAUUUUACCAUUAAGAGGUCCAUUAAAGAUAAAAUAUUUUUCUCUUUCUCCGAGGGUAAAAGAGUCAAAAAAUUCACUCAAGGAUCUAUCUACUGCAAUAGAACCACAGAGGGUCUAUCUGCAGUUGGGGCUAGUACAAGGGGUCAAUCCACAAUUAACCCACUUCAAAAAGAGAGUUUCCGCUUAUUUAUGAUAGCAUUAGAAUGAUCACCAAUAGUGCUUUAAUAGAAAGGAAUGCAGGCAAUAUUUAUGAGCUCGCAUUUGAAUAUUGAAAUCUCAUGAUUUUAUCAUACUGUAACGUAUAAAGAAAUGUUUCGAGUUCAUUAUAAAAUUUGACUUUAGCUUAUGUGAAUUUUCAGCUAGGUGUGGAUAUCGGUUCAUCGACGGUUGCUAGGGGAGUAGUGAGUCUUGUACUUGGUUACUUGACUAACCUGGUGAUAGAAAUGGCAUUUCUGGUUCAGGGAAAUACCGAGGAAGAGCUCCCUGAAUUCCUCCUCGGAACCUGCCGCUUGAACCACCUUGAUGCUGCCAAAGCAGUAUCAAUACCACCAUGGUGACCUUAAGAGUUAUUUUCCGAUGAUACCAGUCGUUCGAAGAUCGAAAGGGGGAUUUAUGUAUAUUUUCAGAAGAGAUGCUUCACUGAAUGUAAAUAUUAUUGCCUUUUGAUGAGUUACCACAAUUCUUUCAUUAUAAGAAAAGACCAAAUUAAAGGGAUUCAGGCAAAAGGGGUUUGUGGAUUAUGGUGAGAUUGUUAUGUUUUACCUCCACAUGUAAUUUUAACCGUUGUCAAAAUUAAAUCAAGUUGGCGUAAACAGUGGAGGAAAUUUAACCAUUAUAUAUUUGGACUGUUAACUUCAAGGUGGUGAGAGAUCAACUCUCUUGAAGUAGUACCCCAUGUAUAAAAGUUACUUUCAAGGAUAUAGAGAUUUAAGCUGGUGAUAAACUGAGCCACACUCUUUUUGAGUUUCUCUGUACUUGUUUAAGGUGUAAGAUUAUUGGAGCCUAGGCAAAUUUUGAGUUUA
Molecule: long non-coding RNA, 1098 nt
Organism: Asparagus officinalis (garden asparagus)
Lineage: Eukaryota; Viridiplantae; Streptophyta; Magnoliopsida; Asparagales; Asparagaceae
Exons: 3
Source: RefSeq, a predicted model, not a curated record